RNAcentral lists this ribosomal RNA (209 nucleotides) under uncultured bacterium. Its description in RNAcentral is "partial 16S ribosomal RNA". It matches the Rfam family "Bacterial small subunit ribosomal RNA", at positions 568 to 775 of the family's 1533-position model. The record is from RNAcentral.
UGCGUAGGUGGCGUCGUAAGUCGGGUGUGAAAUCUCGGGGCUUAACUCCGAAACUGCAUUCGAUACUGCGGUGCUUGAGGACUGGAGAGGAGACUGGAAUUUACGGUGUAGCAGUGAAAUGCGUAGAGAUCGUAAGGAAGACCAGUGGCGAAGGCGGGUCUCUGGACAGUUCCUGACACUGAGGCACGAAGGGCCAGGGGAGGCAAACG